Long non-coding RNA from Lethenteron reissneri (Far Eastern brook lamprey), 2591 nucleotides. RefSeq lists it as uncharacterized. The record is from RefSeq and is a predicted model, not a curated record. Lineage: Eukaryota; Metazoa; Chordata; Hyperoartia; Petromyzontiformes; Petromyzontidae.
ACAACAGCAAUUUCAAAUCCACUCUGAAAAAAUAAUAUAAUAUACUAAAAUAAUAAUAUAAAAAAAUAUUUAUUUCAUUACGUUUUAUUUUUAUUAUUUUAUUAUUUCCAUUCUACAUGACUUUACCGAAAGAACCAAGAAGAUUGGUCUUUUUGUUACCAGGGGAGAUGUUGCAUGCCAGUCACUCGACUCAUCGCAAACACAGCACACCAAACUCCUGCUGCCCUUCCUGAUGUGCCACGAGUGUGGAUAUGUCUGGUCCCAGCAACUCGACAUGAGCGAGCGUCAGCGUGGUAUUUAUCAAGCGAAUCCUGACUCGAAGCCUCACGCCAGCCCAACAUCUGGAACGUAUUCUUUAUGAAUACAAAAUUGCGGCCGAGUUAUUAUUUUAUUUCUCUGUGUUUUGUUUUGGAAUAUUCAGUGAUGGGAGUUAGGUAAUUCAUUCUCCAUGGAGUAGAUAUGGCCGAGAUAUUACUCAAUUAAAUAAUAACCACGGUUACUAUACCAUUUCCUCCAUGUCCUGAUUUCAAUUAUAGUUGUGAUGAAAAGUUACAGUAAUAGAAUUAACUGAUGUAUCCACGGGAAUCCUCAAUCGCAAUGUACAACCAGGGCCGGAUGAAGGCACGGGGCUUUAGGGCAAAGCUCGCAACCGGGUACCCGAUACCCGUACCCUACCCGAUACCCGGCUACCCGUACCCGGCCGGGUACGGGUACCCGUUUGCGACCCUGGUGCGGCCGAGUACGGGUACGGGUAGACCGUGAGUCACUGGUGAGUAACCGUUUGUCACUCAUUUCCCAACGUCUUGUCUCUUCUCACAAUUCAAGUUCCUAGAAUCAACCCACCCGUGCCUGCAACAUGGCUUCAUCCCAGAGGUCGCAAUCAGGUACCCAAUACCCGUACCCUACCCAUACCCGGCCGGGUACGGGUAGGGUACGGGUACGGGUACCCGUUUGCGACCCUGGUGCGGCUGGGUACGGGUACGGGUAAGGAAUCAAAACCCGUUUGCGACCUCUGGUGAAAAGUUAUUUUUCAUUUGUGAAUGCCGAAUUUCAUUUGUUGUUUGCCUUGUAAAAAUACAUUUUAUUUCUCUUUAACUUAGUUUUCCUUUUGAAAAUAUUACUGGGGGCCUCACAGUACCUGUAGCCCAGGGGCCUACACAAUCUUAACCCGGCCCUGUGUACAGCGGAUACCAUUACCCAGCAGGCUUAUCGUCUGCUCACCUAUGUGAUGGUGGUCACAGGGUAUUGCUGACAGUCAGUGCAGUGGUCACACCUGUCAUCCAGCAUUUCGGCGGUGCGUUUGGUAUAUUGUGGUGAUACCGUGCAUGUGACAGCCACCUGCAGGGAUAUUUUGGGUGCCUAGCGCAUCAGCAGAAUAAGUAGGUCACUGACCUUCCCAUACAGAUGUUCUAUCAAGUGCCAUCCCCGACACAUGCGUGGAGGUUUCUCCAUUCACUUCAGUUUCUUCGCACACGGAAACAAAAUUCUCAAAAGGGAGCCGAUCAAAACAUCCGAAGCAGGACCAUACUGAAAAUGUCUUGAGGCUUGCUUGAGGCUUUCCUUAGUAAGUAGAAGGCCAUUAUUUAUAGAAAUUAUUAAUUUCCUCCAUACAAAUGCUUGCCUGGGGUGUAUUGCUCCUCCUACACUGUGCUGCCACAGAAGGCCUCUGACCCUGCAACAGUGAGCCAGUUCUUGCCGUACGAAUGACGAUGCCAUGCUUAUCUCUUGUACGUCGCUGUUAUCGUGAUGAUUUCUGUUUGCUGUUGUUGUUGUUGAUGGUGGCGGGCGGGCGGCGGUGACGGCGGUGGCGGCACGGGGUUGUGUGGUGCUGGGAGGCGAGGGGAGGCGGGCGGCCAUACCUGCAGGAGAAAGCGAGGGCUCUCCGGCAUGAAGGUAUCUCAGAGAGGUGAACGGCUGAGUUGAUCGUGGCUGGGACUCAAAAGGUGCAACACCAGGAUCGUGAAAAUGUACCGAUGAAGCGACAGAGGAAUCGGCAGAAGAGGAAGGCCCCAUAGCCCUGCACGAAGGAGGAGAGGCAGGAGAAGAAGCCGUUGAACGAGAGGGACACGAGGAGGAUCUGCCUCCGGCCCAUGUGGUCGGCCAGGCCGCCCCAGAGCAGCGCCCCGAUCAUCAUCCCCACGUGCGUGACGUCAUUUAUGGACGGCCCCAUAGUGAAGUGCGCGCACCACUGCACCGCCACUCCGCGCAAACGCACUUUGAAUCGUACAAAUCUACACCGGUACGUGCAACAUAUCACAUACCCACCCACACAUACCCACACAAACCGCACAGCACGUGCACACCAAUCACCACAUUCCCAUGUAAUGCAUGAAUGCACGCGAUUUGCAUAUUUACACACACACACACUGUAUAUGCAUAAGCUGACAAUCUACUUGUCAGUACUUCUCUCUCAAUUUAGAUACGAUCGUAGCUAUUCUGGCAAGGGUCAAACGUUAUGUUUUAAUUACUCGGUUAUUACCCAGUGACCCAAGCCCUAACGUCACCGGAUAAGGGGCCCUCACAUGAAUUUGGAAACUCACAACUCCACGUUAGUACAAAGCUGUGAACCCUACUGAGGCUGGCUUACCGAU